Molecule: long non-coding RNA, 225 nt
Filed under: Lathyrus oleraceus (garden pea)
Lineage: Eukaryota; Viridiplantae; Streptophyta; Magnoliopsida; Fabales; Fabaceae
Description: Pisum sativum (pea) long non-coding RNA (PSAT_LNC039941)
Source: RNAcentral
UGGAUAAUCUUCCAUGCGAGUAUAUUAUCUACGUUCUGACGGUAAUAGAUAACAUAUCUCAUGCGCUCUUUGGUUGAAGCCUUCUGUCCUUCUCUAGUCGAGUAAGAUUCGUAUUUCCCUUUGUGGAGUCGAAUAUCCAUCCUAAAAAAAAAUAAAAAAAAAUCAAGUCUGCUUUUUCAGCUCUCUUCAGGAUGAUAAGUGUUUUGGAACACAAACCAAUUCACG